Long non-coding RNA from Camelus dromedarius (Arabian camel), 4454 nucleotides. RefSeq lists it as uncharacterized. NCBI's taxonomy places the organism in Eukaryota, Metazoa, Chordata, Mammalia, Artiodactyla, Camelidae. The record is from RefSeq and is a predicted model, not a curated record. The transcript has 2 exons.
GCCGGAGGUUGGGUGGGGUACUCACUCCCUCAGGCUGGCCAGGGGUCUGGGGACCAGCCUCCACUGCAUGCCCGGAGCAUCCUGCCCGUCCCUGGGGCCCCACCAGCACAUCUCCCAUGUGAUCUGCAGGUCAUGCUGCAUUUGCACAUGUGAGACCAGAAUGUGCUGCGGCAGCUCCCCCGACGGGGUUCAGCCAGCUCCCAUCCAGAGGACACCUUGAGAACCUCAGCACUCUGGAAAUUCCAGCUCUGGCCAGAAACAGAUGAAGCCCAAAUACAUACGUGUUAUAAAUCACAGUGUCGCAGAGACUGAGUUGGGUGGGAUGUACGGGUUUUUGUGAGGCCAGGGAAGGUUCCCACCAGCUGGCACCAUCCUUCCACACUCUGUCGAUACCAAGGCUCUUGGAAAAUUUUAAACUGGCUUUGAGAGUCUGGUGGCCCAUCUCGAGCUGGGCAGGAAGAGGGAGGUCUUUCUGUGUUGUCUCCAGAAGUAGAUGAGCUGAUGGGGUGCACCCUUCGCCAGAAUCCCACGGAUUCUGGGGCCAGUCUCAGAGGUGCAGGAGGAAGAUUUGCUGGCUUCAGUACUCGUUUCUGUGGGUUUUCUACACUGGACGGAUUUGCUGCUCCCUCAGGUUGCAUGAGGCCCCCGUUGCUCUUCCAGUCCCGGGGCCCAGCCCCGCCUGCUCUGGUGGGGCAGGCGGAGGAGGCCAGGCGUGGACAGAGGCCUGGAGGGGCCAGGAGACUGCUGGUCGGCCAGCCUCGGGUGGUGGGACUGGGCUUGCGCGCCGUCGGCCCCUGCCGGGCUUGAGGUGAGCACCGUUUGGUACAUCCUGCUGGACACCAGGGGGCUCCCACCAGGCUGUGGUGUGGGGUCUCCAUGCUGCAGCGGGUGUGUCCAGGGGAGUCGGCUCAGGCCCCUGAGGACUCCCAGUGACUCACGUCCUGCCCUCACCCAUGAGGCGCAGGUGUCCCGCCCGUGCUCCAGCUCCCAGCUCCACGCUCGCUGGGGCUUCCUCCUGCCAUUGCCUCCGGCUCCCGUCGGCAUUGCUGGGUCUUCCUCUUUAUUCUCGUCUGCGGGUGAGUCGUGAAGCCUUGCUGCCCGGGGUCCUGCGCUGCGACCCAGGCCCAGGGGCUGCGGGCUCAGGCUGCCCAUGUUGAGGAGGAGGCUUAUUGGCUGUGUCCGGGGCCCACCUCCUCGUCCUGUACUGGCCUUCCUCCUGAGCUGUCCCUGCCCGAGAGAGGCCAGGAUGGUGAGCACAGAAGGGGCCACCCAGACAGCGACAGGGACGCCUGGACCCUCUCCAGGGGUCCCCUGGGUGAGUUCAUUGAACGAGGGGCUGGGGGAAGGCAGGUGGCUAGGAAUUUGAGGGCCCCCAGACACAUUCUGCUCUAAAGUUCUGUGCUCUGUGGACACAGGGCAUCAUAGUGCACGGUCUCUGGGGCCCAAAGGGGCUGCCCUCCCUGCCCUGUGGUGCUGCUGGUGGUGCCUGGAAUCCACCCAGCGCCUCCUGGGAGCCCCUGCCCCACCCUCAACUCCCGAGGCUCUGCUACUGCCUGCAGGGGCGUGCUCUUGUGAGCAUUGGUACAUGGCUGUGUGUGUGCAGAGUCCUCCCCCAUGCCAGCAUGUCUGCCUGAGCUGCGACAGGCGCUCCAGGGGCAGCCCCCACCCGGGCCCCCAGGGGCUUGGGGAGGCUGCCCGGCAGACUUAUUUUUAUUAUGUCAGAGCUCUCGCUGGAAGGUUUUAUACAUAUAAAACGCUUCCUAAAGAUUGUACGUAUUUUCAAAAAUAAUAUUUAUGUUGUUAAAAAUUUAGGAAAUUGGUUAGUUUUCUUUAAGCUUCCGAUUUCAGCUUGUGUGUCAUCAUUCUUGUUACAGAACUCACAAGUUCUGUCACUUUGAGGGAGUGGUUUUCUUCCAAGUCACCUUAUUGACAUGUGAUUUCAUGUGGCAUGUAGUGCCCACGUCUGUCCCGCCGCCUCUGAGCGCUGCAGUCAGUCUGCUGCCACCCCGGGCACCCCCGCCGGCCACGUGCGGCCCUUCCUGCCUGUCCUGCAGCCUUGCCCAGCACACAGCCCCUGUCUGCCACCUCCCACCCAGCACCCUGCUGUGCCCGCCAGUGGCUGUUCUGGCCUCCUGCUGAGGGUGGCCCCGUUUGGACACACCGCGGUUUGUUGACCCAUUUGUCUGUUGGUGACAUUGGGGCGUUUGUAUUAGUGUACAUGUUACAUAUGUGAGUGUGUGAAUGAGUCUACACCUGUGAAGUGUGAAUCAAUUUUGCACUUUUACACCAGAGAGAGCACAGCUGGGGAAGAGCAGAGUCAGGGCUGACUGCCUGGUCAGGACGGGGCGCCGACUGCAUUGGUCAGGAUGGGGAGCCAGCACGAGGCACGACAAGACAGUCGACAGGACAGGACAGAGCCUAGAAACGACCCUCACAGACGGGGCCAGGCGCCCGGGACGGAGAAGAGGCAGUUCAGAGCAGAAGGGGGAGUCUUUUCAACAAGGUGGGCCUGGAGUGACCAGACAUCCACUUGGAAAGAGAGUCUAGACAUAGACUUUACAUGUUUCACAGUGAUUGAUUUGAAAUGGAUUAUAGACUUAAAUGAAAAAUAGAAAACUGUAAAACUUCUUGAGGAAAACAUGGGAGAAAGUCUGGUGACGUUGAUUUGGUGAUGACUUUUUAGAUAGAAUACCAAAAGCAGGAUCCAUGGAAGAGAAGACAGGCGCCCUGUACUCUGCGGGGUUGGGGGGUGUGCAGAGGGUAUAACUGUAAAUACCUCAUUAUCCUACUCCGAACACCUUUGGCAAAAUACCUUCAUUAAAACUGAAAACUUCUGCUCUGCAGAACUUGUUGUUAAGGCAAUGAAAAGACAAGCCAUAGGCUGGUAGUAAGGAAGUAUUUGCUGAACACACAUCUGAAGAAGUACUUGCACUGUGCAGCGACCUCCUAAAGCCCACGGUGGGGAAGCCAGCAGCGCAGGGCAAACUGGGCAGGCGAUCUGCACGGACACCAGAGGUCACACACGAGGAGGCGCUCACAUCACCUGGCAGGGAGGUGCCGCCUGCACCUCAGGAGCCCCGCGGCGUGAACCCAGCAGCACCGCGGGCUGGUGAGGCUGUGGAGCCACAGACGCUCCCCCAUCGCUGGUGGGGUGCACAUGGGGCUGCCGCUCCGGGGGACAGCUUGGAGUCCCUCGUGGAACCAGACACUCCUGCCAUGAGGUCCAUCGGUUGUGCUCCUUGGUGUUUACCCAGAGCAGCUGAAAUUUCCCCACACAGAAACCUGCACACGGGUGUUCAUAGGAGCAACCAAGACGUCCCUCAUGGGUGAGUGGGCAGACACACGAGGACACUUGUUCGAUGGACUCACUAAGCAGUGAGGGGAAUGAGCUGUCGAGCUGUGGAGACAUGGAUGAAGCUUAAAUGCAGGUUGCUGAGUGAGAGAAGCUGUCUGAGAAGGGGACGUGCCGUAUGAGUCCAGCUCUGUGAUGUGCUGGAAAAGGCAAGCUGUGCGAUGAUGAAAGGAUCAGUGGUUUCCAGGGCAGAGGGAGAAUGAGUAGGUGGAGUGUGGGAUUUUUUAGGGAUUUUUUGAAACUGCUGUGUGUGAUAUUGUAAUGGAGAAUACAUGCCCUUGUGUCUUUGUCAAAACCGUGGGACUUUAAUGUAUGCAGAUUGAAUCACGCUCCUUGGAGAAACGGCCGGUGCCAGGGCCGGGGCAGGGGAGCCCAGGGUGGGCCUGGAGCGUCUCCUUGGCAGCCCUCACAGAGAUGUGUGUCCCAGAGGUACAGAAGCUGAAUAAAAGAGCUCCCAGCAGCCAAAGCUGGAACAAUUUGAGCAACAAAAUCAACAGUAAUCUCGAAUGAUAACCCAAAGUGUAACGUAGACAUCCAUGAGGCCGUGUUGAUAGAAGAAACGGUCGAAUGUGUGAGUCGGGGAGAAGACAAGUCUCCCACGCAGAGGAUGUCCCCUCAGGCUGUGCAGAGGGCCUCCCUUCCGAGGGUGCGGUGUGGCGGGGUGGGGCACCUCGACACCCACCCGAGCAUCGAGAAUCAGCGGUGGCGUGUCCUAUGAGGGUGUGGCGCGGGCGGCCCCUCACACCUGUGGUCUUCUGCUCAGCCAGCAGCUGGCAGCCUUAACUAGGGACUUCACAGCCCUCUGCCCAGCCUCUCAGACCAGGGACAGUCUGAGGAUCCGCACAGCCCAGAGGAGCUGAAGGAGACAUGAUGACUGAUUGCCAUGGGGGUCUGGAGUGGGGUCCUGGGGCAGAAAAGGGACAUGAAGUAAAAACCGAGGAAAUCUGAAAGCACUGCCGACUUCGGUGUAUCAGCGUCGGUUCGCUAACUGACAGAGGUGCCCUCCUGACAGUAGAGGGGCUGGGCUUGGGGAGUGUGGGAAGCUCUAUACUGUCUUGGCAAAUUUUCUGUUCUAAAAUUAAAAGGUUACUUUAAUGUGUAA